Molecule: long non-coding RNA, 2497 nt
Organism: Columba livia (rock pigeon)
Lineage: Eukaryota; Metazoa; Chordata; Aves; Columbiformes; Columbidae
Exons: 3
Source: RefSeq, a predicted model, not a curated record
AAGACUAUUUAAUAUGUGAUUAAUGGACUAGUUAUUUGACGUAAUGCCAAAAUCUAGGCUGUUCAGAGCAAAAUUUGGUGACAAAAAUAAAUCUUGAAUUACUCCCUUUGUCCCUUCCUUGCUUCUGACUACACUGCAUUUAAAGCAAGUUGUAGAUAACUCCAAUCCAAAUUUCUCCAUCCUUUAAAAGUGUCAUACUUUUUUGCUGAUAAUUGCUAUGGUCUUAGAAAAAUAUUUGAUCUUGUUUUGUUAUAUCUGUGGGACAUGUUCUGCUUGGUCAAAGAAAGAAGCUUAUUCCUAAAUUUGGUCACUAUUGUUUGAUUUCCUUCUUGCAAGCUGAUGUUUGAAUUAACUUUUCUUUAAAGCAACGAUUUUUUUUCUCCUUUUUUAUUCAUGGAUGAAUUAUAAUAAGAGUGACCUGAUGAAAAGCAGUAGAAUGGAACAAGGAAAAAAAGGUCUGGCAGGCAUAGUGUAUGGAAAAUAAACUUGACCUCUUCCUCAGUGCAGACAAAGUUAAUGGUUAUAGACAGUCUUUGUUCAUGGAACAUGUUCUCCUCCUCUGAAGAAAGCAAGCAAUUGUUCUGCUAAAUUAAAACUUAACGUGAAAUGAACAGCCUUUUUUAUGGGAAGAGGGUUCCCUGUCCUAGAGAGUCCACCCAGUCAGUUGGGAAACACUUCAUGCAGAAGCCUGGAUUCCUGCAGCCUUCAUGUCCUUCUGCUGGAGCAUGAAAUAAGGCUGUCUAGAACACCUGCUGUGGGAAGAGGUACCCAUGAUACCUAGUGUAAAGAUUUGAAGCCACACACAGAAACCCAUCACCAUGGGCAGCCAGGAGUGCAGCACCUGCACCUGCAUCAUCACCAUGGUCAACUCAACCCAUCCAGGAACUUGCAGGCUGAUUUGCAAGCCCAGCUACAUCAGCUGCUACCUGGGAGGACAGGACAACAUGCUGGGAGAAGGAGCUAAUAUCCUGCAAUUAACAAGAUUUGCUUUACAUGUCAUGUCUGUAAUAUGCUCACAAACAUUCCUCUUAGCAAAUACUUCUGUUUUCCCUGACAUGUUCUGAGCUACGUGGCAUGGUGAUGGAGCCACCUGCUCCCUGUGAAGAGAAAGCACUGCUCUGACCACCUUCCCUAUACCAUACCUACUCUGCAACUAGAAACCCAUAAAACCGGGGUAGGCAGACCCAAGAGCAGGGCUGAGCUGAAGCUGACUGUGUAGCAAGACCAGUCCUGACCAGUAAAAGUGAAAAUGUAGAUAUGACAGUGUCUGUUCAUGCAGGAGAGAUUACAGAAAUGAACAGGAUGAUUUGGCUAAACACCUGGUAAAGGGGGUGUCAAAACCGAUAACAGUUACAAUGGGCCAGCCCUGCCCCUAUCCAGACCUGUGAGUAAAGCUGGAGACUGAAGGAACUGGAAAUAGGACUGGGAUGUCUGAAGUAAAGCUAGGCAUUUAUUAUUUGUUUCCAGAUGAUGGGCAAAGCUGUGGUUGCAAUUUUUUGUUCCGUUCUUUCUCUUGUACAAAAACACAGGGACCAUUGCCAAUUUUCUCCUGAUCAUUUUCCUGUUUCCUUAAAUAAAAAUCUCUGUUUCCAUGUUCCCAAGGAGUCUGAGGACAUAUGAGCACAGGAGGGCUGGAGCAGAGCUAGAAGUAGGAACACGCCUUUCGGCUGCAAGAUCUAGCCACAGUUUUCUUUAUUUUAGAAAGAAAAACCUAACAAAUAAAGAGUUAUAGCAACAUGGGAGAAAACAUUCUUUCAUGGUUUGUCUUUAUCUAACUUGGAUGAUACUGUGAACAGCUAAUAACAAGCCAUUGCUGGAAGGUGUAAAUAAAAUGCAAAGUCUCUCGUCAUCCAUGUGAGAGGUCCCUGUUCAUGCAAGGACCAGCUCUUGCAGCCUUUGCUCAAGUGAGACAUGUUUAGUCACAACAGGGAUUGCAAGGACUAAAGCAUUAAGCACACAAUGACAAUGACGAAUUUUUACUGUGCUCAAAGAAAGAAAAUUGAGGUGCUUUGUAUUUUCAACACACGCUGAAUGUAAUACUUUUUUGAAAUUAGAAAAUGUAAGAGAAACGUGGCAUUUCCAGGCAGGGAGGACAAUGCGAGCUCUCAUCCAAGCCACUCUCAGGUUGGAGCUGGAGCUCUGCUUGUGCUUCAACACACUCCCCAUGCUCCCACAACAAUAACACGCCACUGUUAUUUUUAGCGUCAACUAUAAUACAAAGCAAUUCAAGGCAUCUGCAGUGUAUUCUGUGAGGACAGUAUUUCUCUUUUGCUUGUGUAGUUCCCAGGCUGCAGUGCCAUUCUGUUCACCAAUCUUAAACAAACACUGCCUUUGAGAUUUCCUAAAUAGUUCAAAGUGGUGUCUAGGGAAACAUUAGAAACACAUAUGGAAAGCCUGAAUACAUUUCAGAUGAAACCACUUUGAAUGUCCAUUUUUGUGCAAGUUCUGAGCUGGAAGAUAGUAAAAAGCAAGAGUUUUUAAGAUAAACUUGUCAGGA